UUGACCUCGAAUCAGGUAGGACUACCCGCUGAACUUAAGCAUAUCAAUAAGCGGAGGAAAAGAAACCAACAGGGAUUGCCCUAGUAACGGCGAGUGAAGCGGCAACAGCUCAAAUUUGAAAUCUGGCCCUCGGGUCCGAGUUGUAAUUUGUAGAGGAUGCUUUUGGUGCGGUGCCUUCCGAGUUCCCUGGAACGGGACGCCAUAGAGGGUGAGAGCCCCGUCUGGUUGGACGCCAAUCCUCUGUAAAGCUCCUUCGACGAGUCGAGUAGUUUGGGGAAUGCUGCUCUAAAUGGGGAGGGUAUAUGUCUUCUAAAGCUAAAUACCCGGCCCAGGAGACCCGAAUAG
Molecule: ribosomal RNA, 345 nt
Filed under: Mariannaea samuelsii
Lineage: Eukaryota; Fungi; Ascomycota; Sordariomycetes; Hypocreales; Nectriaceae
Description: eukaryotic LSU rRNA
Rfam family: Eukaryotic large subunit ribosomal RNA
Source: RNAcentral